UAAACUCCCCUUAUAGUUUUUAAGAAAUAAAAUUAAAAAAAAUCAUGUAAUACUACAUCAGUGUUAUGUUAUUGUAUGACUUCAUCUUUUAUACAGUCGGGUUCGGGGUUUCGGGCGGCCAUAGCGAAUUUCAGCAAGAUUUUACCCCAGUGAAAAAGGCUUGUAAUCCACAGUGAUCAGCUAAGAUGUUGUUUCACUGGAUUAUUUAAUUGGGCAUAUAAUUGGAUAAUUCUGGAUCAGCUGAGAUAUUAUUUCACUGGAUUAUUUAAUGGAUAGACUUAUUUGGCAUAUAUUUGGAUAUCUCUGUCAUCAACAUGGAAGCCAUGUUUUGUUCCUAACCAUCUAUAAUCCAUUCUCUAUGAAGUUCAGACUGUCUGCUCUUCCUUUGGAAAUACACAGUUAGUCAACCAACAAAGAAACACACAAAACUUGAAGGAUUCUCUAGUGAGGGCUUAUGGAAAUGAUCUAUGUCUACUCUCAGAAUGGUGAAAGACUAUCAGAUUAUGCAAAGACUAACAGAAUAUCCUCUCUUGGAACACUGAAACAAGAAAAUCAAACAGGAGAUGGAUGGAGGAUUUAAGAAGCACAUAGAUAAAUAUGAUUUCCAACGAAUUUAACCAGUAUUAUCAUAGACUGUGGUUUACAGGAUGACAAAGUAACAGGAUUGUAUCAUUUUUACUGUCAGACACUGACUAUGGAUAAGAUGUACCCAUUUAUUAAACUGAGAUCUAGUCAAAUCAAGUACAAUUGUAUUGAAAAAAUGAUUUUCUGAUAGCAUGAACUCUUUAAAAAUUAAUUCUCACAGACCUCAAAGUAUCUGAAUGUGACUUUUAUUUUUACCAAUUUCUAUUGAAGACUGUUGUUAUGUAUGAGAAGUAUACAUUUAAACCUUUUAUUUUUCAUCUUAUUUCUAUAACCCCCUAGAAAUUACACAGAUAUUCAGAUGCUGGAUUUAAUAUUAUUAUUUAACUUUCCUGGAAUGGUAAAUAUAUUUUGUUUGUGUAUGUAUCAUUUUUUAAUUUUGAAUUUAAAAUUGGUCUCAAUAAGACCCCCAAUAAAGAUGCAAGUGUCCCAUAAUCUGUGGUUUAAUAAUAUCUUGAAUAUCUUUAUCAUAUCAUAUUCAUCAUACUAAUUACAUAUUGAAUGUUUGUAGGAAUACACUUUGUUGUUUAGGACACUGUCAAGGUCAAAGCAUAAGAUUAUUGAGAUGA
Long non-coding RNA from Saccostrea cuccullata (small rock oyster), 1211 nucleotides. RefSeq lists it as uncharacterized. The transcript is spliced from 5 exons. Lineage: Eukaryota; Metazoa; Mollusca; Bivalvia; Ostreida; Ostreidae. The record is from RefSeq and is a predicted model, not a curated record.